Long non-coding RNA from Rhea pennata, 690 nucleotides. RefSeq lists it as uncharacterized. The record is from RefSeq and is a predicted model, not a curated record. The transcript is spliced from 2 exons. NCBI's taxonomy places the organism in Eukaryota, Metazoa, Chordata, Aves, Rheiformes, Rheidae.
UGUCGGGGGCAGAAGGGAGUCUCGCGCGGCCUCGCGGGUGUCCGGCAGCCGGGAGAGACGAAGCCGUGUACAAACGCGAAACCUAGAAAACCACUGGAGGCUCUUGAAAUACACAGGACAUGAAAUUCCAGUGACAGGUCUUGCAUCUUUUCUUGCUGCACAUACUUAGUGUGUAAGAGAGAUAAAUUCUAGACUUGGCUGCUUUGCAAAGAGGAGAAGAGACCUGGAAAAAGAAUAAGACAGCAAUAGGGAGAUUUUUUUUUUGAAGAGGAAUGAAGGAUACUACUACGAGUUUUUUGAACUCCCAGGUCACUAAGUGCUAUCUAACAGGAAGAUGCAAAUCAGUGUCCUUUUUCAGAUUUGACUAUCCAAAUACCUUUCUCUCACAGCACACAGCCCUGAAAAGUGUGUCAGCAACAUGGUGGACUGUGUAGCAAUUUUUCCCAUAGAAAUUACUGUAAUAGCCAGAGAUGCAUACAAUGACUUCAAACACACAAAUACAGAAGAACAAUAUAUACAUACCGUAUGGAGAAAAGUGAGGCAAAUGCAGGAUCAUCAGAAUUGCUGACUGACAACUCAACAUCCAAAAAUGACAGAAGUAGUACAGGACAUGCUGGCUUUGGACCCAGCUUUUCUCUGACUGGAGAAGUUGAUUUCUCUUUAAAAUAAAAAUCAAAGGUUGAACGCCUA